Non-coding RNA from Pelobates cultripes (western spadefoot toad), 209 nucleotides. The record is from the annotation of a GenBank genome assembly. Lineage: Eukaryota; Metazoa; Chordata; Amphibia; Anura; Pelobatidae.
CCAGAGACCCCCUGGGGCAGAAGUUUUACUUUUAAAAGAUGAGUAAGUUAUUAGGACUUCAGACAGGGACUGGGGGAUACAGAGACAGAGACACUGGGAGACAUGGGGACACUGGAAGACUGGGGGACACUGAGACUCUAGGGGAGACAUGGGGACACUGAGAAACUAGGGGACACUGGGAGACAUGAGGACACUAAGAGAGACAUGGG